RNAcentral lists this ribosomal RNA (164 nucleotides) under Tricholemma jahandiezii. RNAcentral describes it as "5.8S ribosomal RNA". It matches the Rfam family "5.8S ribosomal RNA". From Rfam's summary of the family: 5.8S ribosomal RNA (5.8S rRNA) is a component of the large subunit of the eukaryotic ribosome. It is transcribed by RNA polymerase I as part of the 45S precursor that also contains 18S and 28S rRNA. Functionally, it is thought that 5.8S rRNA may be involved in ribosome translocation. Lineage: Eukaryota; Viridiplantae; Streptophyta; Magnoliopsida; Poales; Poaceae. The record is from RNAcentral.
CACACGACUCUCGGCAACGGAUAUCUCGGCUCUCGCAUCGAUGAAGAACGUAGCGAAAUGCGAUACCUGGUGUGAAUUGCAGAAUCCCGCGAACCAUCGAGUCUUUGAACGCAAGUUGCGCCCGAUGCCUUUCGGCUGAGGGCACGCCUGCCUGGGCGUCACGC